AAUGUACUCCCUCCGUCCCAAAAUUCUUGUCUUAGAUUAGUCUAGAUACGGAUGUAUCUAAUACUAAAACGUGACUUGAUACAUCCGUAUUUAGACAAAUCUAAGACAAGAAUUUUGGGAUGGAGGAGUAUCUC
Molecule: non-coding RNA, 134 nt
Organism: Triticum aestivum (bread wheat)
Lineage: Eukaryota; Viridiplantae; Streptophyta; Magnoliopsida; Poales; Poaceae
Source: Rfam